CACGUUAAUUUUUACUUUAAUUUAAAACUUAUAUACCGCCAUCUUAAGAAACAAUUUUAAAUCUCUCUCUUAAUAAUUAAUAAAAAGUUAGGUCAAGGUGUAAUCUAUAUUAAAGAUUAGAUGAAUUACAUUAAAUAAUAUUUACAAUUAUUUAUAUAUUUAUAAAUAUAAAUAAGAAUUUAAAAGUAAUAUAUUAAUAAUAAUAAUAUAUGACAAAGAUAAUAAAUGUGCACACAUCGCCC
This 242-nucleotide ribosomal RNA is filed under the name Pireneitega involuta. Its description in RNAcentral is "partial 12S ribosomal RNA". Lineage: Eukaryota; Metazoa; Arthropoda; Arachnida; Araneae; Agelenidae. The record is from RNAcentral.